Molecule: non-coding RNA, 120 nt
Organism: Picea glauca (white spruce)
Lineage: Eukaryota; Viridiplantae; Streptophyta; Pinopsida; Pinales; Pinaceae
Source: Rfam
ACAUGCCUACAACAUUGGUUAAUGCACCGGAUCCCAUUAGAACUCCGCAAUUAAGCACGCUCGGUCUAGAGUAGUACUGGGAUGGGUGACCGCCCACAAAGUUCUAGUGUUUUACAUGCC